GCCUUCGUGGUGUAGAAGUCAGCACGCUUGGCGCGUAUUCGAGAGGUCAGUGGUUCGAGUCCCGGCGAGGGUA
RNAcentral lists this transfer RNA (73 nucleotides) under Stegodyphus mimosarum. It matches the Rfam family "tRNA". Rfam says of the family: Transfer RNA (tRNA) molecules are approximately 80 nucleotides in length. Their secondary structure includes four short double-helical elements and three loops (D, anti-codon, and T loops). Further hydrogen bonds mediate the characteristic L-shaped molecular structure. tRNAs have two regions of fundamental functional importance: the anti-codon, which is responsible for specific mRNA codon recognition, and the 3' end, to which the tRNAs corresponding amino acid is attached (by aminoacyl-tRNA synthetases). tRNAs cope with the degeneracy of the genetic code in two manners: having more than one tRNA (with a specific anti-codon) for a particular amino acid; and 'wobble' base-pairing, i.e. permitting non-standard base-pairing at the 3rd anti-codon position. The record is from Rfam by way of RNAcentral. Lineage: Eukaryota; Metazoa; Arthropoda; Arachnida; Araneae; Eresidae.